Molecule: ribosomal RNA, 232 nt
Filed under: uncultured bacterium
Lineage: Bacteria
Description: partial 16S ribosomal RNA
Rfam family: Bacterial small subunit ribosomal RNA
Source: RNAcentral
GAUCCUGGCUCAGGACGAACGCUGGCGGCGCGCCUAACACAUGCAAGUCGAACGAGAGAUGAGGAGCUUGCUCUUCAAAUCGAGUGGCGAACGGGUGAGUAACGCGUGGGUAACCUGCCUCAUACAGGGGGAUAACAGUUAGAAAUGACUGCUAAUACCGCAUAAGCGCACAGUACCACAUGGUACGGUGUGAAAAACUCCGGUGGUAUGAGAUGGACCCGCGUCUGAUUAG